Molecule: ribosomal RNA, 460 nt
Filed under: uncultured bacterium
Lineage: Bacteria
Description: partial 16S ribosomal RNA
Rfam family: Bacterial small subunit ribosomal RNA
Source: RNAcentral
CCUACGGGUGGCUGCAGUGAGGAAUAUUGGUCAAUGGACGAGAGUCUGAACCAGCCAAGUAGCGUGAAGGAUGACUGCCCUAUGGGUUGUAAACUUCUUUUAUAUGGGAAUAAAAUGUUCCACGUGUGGGAUUUUGUAUGUACCAUAUGAAUAAGGAUCGGCUAACUCCGUGCCAGCAGCCGCGGUAAUACGGAGGAUCCGAGCGUUAUCCGGAUUUAUUGGGUUUAAAGGGAUCGUAGGUGGAUUGUUAAGUCAAUUGUGAAAGUUUGCGGCUCAACCGUAAAAUUGCAGUUGAAACUGGCAGUCUUGAGUACAGUAGAGGUGGGCGGAAUUCGUGGUGUAGCGGUGAAAUGCUUAGAUAUCACGAAGAACUCCGAUUGCGAAGGCAGUUCACUGGACUGCAACUGACACUGAGGCUCGAAAGUGUGGGUAUCAAACAGGAUUAGAUACCCGAGUAGUC